Molecule: ribosomal RNA, 495 nt
Filed under: uncultured bacterium
Lineage: Bacteria
Description: partial 16S ribosomal RNA
Rfam family: Bacterial small subunit ribosomal RNA
Source: RNAcentral
GACGAACGCUGGCGGCGUGCCUAAUACAUGCAAGUAGAACGCUGAAGGAGGAGCUUGCUCUUCUGGAUGAGUUGCGAACGGGUGAGUAACGCGUAGGUAACCUGCCUGGUAGCGGGGGAUAACUAUUGGAAACGAUAGCUAAUACCGCAUAACAGUAGAUGUUGCACGACAUUUGCUUAAAAGGUGCAAUUGCACCACUACCAGAUGGACCUGCGUUGUAUUAGCUAGUUGGUGGGGUAACGGCUCACCAAGGCGACGAUACAUAGCCGACCUGAGAGGGUGAUCGGCCACACUGGGACUAAGACACGGCCCAGACUCCUACGGGAGGCAGCAGUAGGGAAUCUUCGGCAAUGGACGGAAGUCUGACCGAGCAACGCCGCGUGAGUGAAGAAGGUUUUCGGAUCGUAAAGCUCUGUUGUAAGAGAAGAACGAGUGUGAGAGUGGAAAGUUCACACUGUGACGGUAUCUUACCAGAAAGGGACGGCUAACUACGUG